Molecule: ribosomal RNA, 253 nt
Filed under: uncultured bacterium
Lineage: Bacteria
Description: partial 16S ribosomal RNA
Rfam family: Bacterial small subunit ribosomal RNA
Source: RNAcentral
GACGAAGGUGGCGAGCGUUGUUCGGAAUCACUGGGCAUAAAGCGCACGUAGGCGGCGGCGUAAGUCGGAUGUGAAAUCCCUGGGCCUAACCCAGGAACUGCGUCCGAUACUGCGUUGCUUGAGGACCAAAGGGGUGCAUGGAAUUCCCGGUGGAGCGGUGAAAUGCGUUGAUAUCGGGAGGAACGCCGGCGGCGAAAGCGGUGCACUGGUUGGUUUCUGACGCUGAGGUGCGAAAGCCAGGGGAGCAAACGGG